This 253-nucleotide ribosomal RNA is filed under the name uncultured bacterium. RNAcentral describes it as "partial 16S ribosomal RNA". It matches the Rfam family "Bacterial small subunit ribosomal RNA", at positions 524 to 776 of the family's 1533-position model. The record is from RNAcentral.
UACAGAGGGGGCAAGCGUUGUUCGGAAUUACUGGGCGUAAAGGGCGCGUAGGCGGCCUGUUAAGUCGAACGUGAAAUCCCCGGGCUCAACCCGGGAACUGCGUCCGAUACUGGCAGGCUUGAAUCCGGGAGAGGGAUGCGGAAUUCCAGGUGUAGCGGUGAAAUGCGUAGAUAUCGGGAAGAACACCCGUGGCGAAGGCGGUUCUCUGGGACGGUACUGACGCUGAGACGCGAAAGCGUGGGGAGCGAACAGG